Molecule: ribosomal RNA, 301 nt
Filed under: uncultured bacterium
Lineage: Bacteria
Description: partial 16S ribosomal RNA
Rfam family: Bacterial small subunit ribosomal RNA
Source: RNAcentral
CAGCCGCCGCGGGAAUACGAGGGGGGCAAGCGUUGUUCGGAAUUAUUGGGCGUAAAGGGUGCGUAGGCGGUUUGAUAAGUCUUGUGUGAAAUCUAUGGGCUCAACCCAUAGUCUGCUCAGGAAACUGUAGGGCUUGAGAGUGGGAGAGGUGAGUGGAAUUUCCGGUGUAGCGGUGAAAUGCGUAGAUAUCGGAAGGAACACCUGUGGCGAAAGCGGCUCACUGGACCAUUUCUGACGCUGAUGCACGAAAGCUAGGGGAGCAAACAGGAUUAGAUACCCGCGUAGUCCCUGUCUCUUAUAC